RNAcentral lists this ribosomal RNA (78 nucleotides) under bacterium. Its description in RNAcentral is "partial 23S ribosomal RNA". The record is from RNAcentral.
AUGGUCAAGCGCAGCAGGGCAUACGGGGGAUGCCUAGGCGCUCGCGGGCGAGGAAGGGCGUAGUACGCUGCGAAAAGC